AGAACCUGAAACCCUGCACUUACAAGCUGUAGGAGCACAUUUCUUGUGUGACUGCGUACUUUUUGUAGAACGGGCCAACGAGUUACGUUGUGUAGCAAGGUUAAGCACUUAAGGUGUGGAGCCGUAGCGAAAGCGAGUCUUAAAUGGGCGUCUAGUUACCCGACGUAGACCCGAAACCAGGCGACCUAUCCAUGAGCAGGUUGAAGCGAAAGUAAAAUUUCGUGGAGGACCGAACCCACGUACGUUGAAAAGUGCGGGGAUGACUUGUGGAUAGCGGUGAAAUUCCAAUCGAGCCUGGAGAUAGCUGGUUCUCCCCGAAAUAGCUUUAGGGCUAGCCUCAAGAUUAGAGAAGCGGAGGUAGAGCACUGAAUGUCCUAGGGGGUAUUGCACUUACCGAAGACUAUCAAACUCCGAAUGCCGUAUUCUUUUGCUUGGGAGUCAGACUAUGGGUGAUAAGAUUCAUAGUCAAGAGGGCAACAGCCCAGAUCGUCAGCUAAGGUCCCUAAAUGUAAGUUAAGUGGUAAAGGAUGUGGAAUUGCACAGACAACCAGGAUGUUGUAAGUGGUAAAGGAUGUGGGAUUGCACAGACAACCAGGAUGUUGGCUUAGAAGCAGCCACUCAUUUAAAGAGUGCGUAAUAGCUCACUGGUCGAGUGAUCCUGCGCCGAAAAUUUCCGGGGCUAAAACGUACUACCGAAGCUACGGCAUCAUUUAUGAUGGGUAGGGGAGCUUCGUAUGCAGGCUGAAGCAUGACCGUAAGGACAUGUGGACAGUAUACGAGUGAGAAUGUUGGCAUGAGUAGCGAGACGUGGGUGAGAAUCCCACGGGCCGUAAACCCAAGGUUUCCAGGGGAAGGUUCGUCCGCCCUGGGUUAGUCGGGACCUAAGCCGAGGCCGAAAGGCGUAGGUGAUGGACAACAGGUUGAUAUUCCUGUACCGCCAAUAAGCGUUUGAGAGAUGGAGUGACACAGUAGGAUAAGCUAACCGUACUGUUGGUUAUGUACGGCUAAGCAUUGAGGCAGUCUAAAUAGGCAAAUCCGUUUAGACAAUGCUAGGAUGUGAUGGGGAAGCCCUUCGGGGCGAAGUAGCUGAUUUCACACUGUCAAGAAAAGCUUCUAUCGAGUUUAAAGGCGCCCGUACCGUAAACCGACACAGGUGGGUGAGGAGAGUAUCCUAAGGCCAGCGAGAGAACUAUUGUUAAGGAACUCGGCAAAAUGACCCCGUAACUUAGGGAGAGGCGGCCGUAACUAUAACGGUCCUAAGGUAGCGAAAUUCCUUGUCGGGUAAGUUCCGACCCGCACGAAAGGCGUAACGAUUUGGGCACUGUCUCAACAAUAGACUCGGUGAAAUUGUAAUCCCGGUGAAGAUGCCGGGUACCUGCGACAGGACGGAAAGACCCCAUGGAGCUUUACUGUAGCUUGACGUUGGGUCUUGGUACUACAUGUACAGGAUAGGUGGGAGACUAUGAAGCAUGGACGCCAGUCUGUGUGGAGUCAUCCUUGGGAUACCACCCUUGUAGUACUGGGAUCCUAACCAUAGGCCUUGAAUCAGGUCUUGGAACACCGUCAGGUGGGCAGUUUGACUGGGGCGGUCGCCUCCUAAAAAGUAACGGAGGCGCUCAAAGGUUUCCUCAGCACGGUCGGAAAUCGUGCGAAGAGUGUAAAGGCAAAAGGAAGCUUGAUUGCAAGACAUACAGGUCGAGCAAGGACGAAAGUCGGACUUAGUGAUCCGGUGGUACCGCAUGGAAGGGCCAUCGCUCAACGGAUAAAAGCU
Molecule: ribosomal RNA, 1771 nt
Filed under: human gut metagenome
Description: bacterial LSU rRNA
Rfam family: Bacterial large subunit ribosomal RNA
Source: RNAcentral